AAUCCCAGCUUUACUAUGCUUUAUUUAGUAGUAGAUAUAUAUUAGAUAUAGCUGACACUUAUAAAGCACAUGUCUUUUUUUAUUAUUUUUAUUUUUUUAUUUUUUAUCAUACUUUAAGUUCUAGGGCACAUGUGCACAACGUGCAGGUUUGUUACAUAUGUAUACAUGUGCCAUGUUGGUGUGCUGCACCCGUUAACUUGUCAUUUACAUUAGGUAUAUCUCCUAAUGCUAUCCCUCCCCCAAGCCCCCAUCCCACGAUAGAACAUCUCUUUAUGCUGCUCUUGCAAAAGCUAAAUCUCCCUGCUUGCACCUCCAACCUGCAAGAAAAAUCUCAUUCCUACCUCAACGUUCUACCAAUCAGAUCGUUACAUUUUUCUUUAACUUAAUUGCAGUUCUCCAUUUAACCUACAGGGAAGAGAAAAAUCUAAACAGGAACACAGACAUAAGUGCUGGUUUCUUGACAAGUCAUGGAUUUCUGCCAUGACUGAUUAUAGGAGCCAUAAGAAGCCAAGGAGAUCACAUUUAAGUACCAGCAAAAGAAUACUUUUUCAACCUAUAUAAUUCCAUGUAUAGAGAAUAACAAAAUUAUGGCAAACACCACCACACCACACUGCAAACAAAAUAAAGAAACUAUUGUAAAACUGUGGCUAAAUAUCUAGUUUCUAAUAUCUACUUCCAAUGGAUUUCUGCUGCCUGCAUUUCCUUUGACAGCCAGUCUGCUGACCUGGCAUCCAAGACAUCAUUAUGUAAAAUGUUCUGGGAAUCCAACAGUCAGUUCUCAGCAUCUUAGGUCUAGCCUCCAAGCAUUAUUUAUAAUGCUAAUGUCAGCACCAUGAGCCAAUUGUAUUCCCAUAAUCCCCUUCCAAGAGUAGAAGAAAGAAAACUCCCCAGAAAUAUCUAUCCCUGGGAUGUCAGAGGUGUCUGUGGAGCAGUCAUUGUGUUGCUUUGUAAGAAGUGGCCACCUUCAACAUGGGAAGAUGUCCUCUCUGGCCCUGCCUAGGUCUGCCUGUUCCCUCAACACAAACACUUCCCACUCAGUCUGCUCUACAUCUCUCUGCACACUGUCCAUCUGGCACAAAGAAGGAACACCAGCUGGUACAUAA
This 1103-nucleotide long non-coding RNA is filed under the name Papio anubis (olive baboon). RNAcentral describes it as "lncRNA (ENSPANG00000045246.1)". The record is from RNAcentral. Lineage: Eukaryota; Metazoa; Chordata; Mammalia; Primates; Cercopithecidae.